GUGCUUGCUUCGGUGGUACAUAUACUAAAAUUGGAACAAUAGAGAGAUUAGCAUGGCCCCUACACAAGGAUGACACACAAAUUUAUGAAGCAUUCCAUUAAAAA
RNAcentral lists this small nuclear RNA (104 nucleotides) under Myotis davidii. Lineage: Eukaryota; Metazoa; Chordata; Mammalia; Chiroptera; Vespertilionidae. The record is from RNAcentral.